AUGCUUGCUUGGGUAGCACAUAAACUAAAAUUGGAACAAUAUAGAGAAUAUUAGCAUGGCCCUUGUGCUAGGGUGACACACAAAUUUGUGAAGCAUUCCAUAUUUUU
Molecule: small nuclear RNA, 107 nt
Organism: Otolemur garnettii (small-eared galago)
Lineage: Eukaryota; Metazoa; Chordata; Mammalia; Primates; Galagidae
Source: Ensembl